CGCCUGGCGGCAGGCCUAACACAUGCAAGUCGAGCGGUAACAGGAGAAAGCUUGCUUUCUUGCUGACGAGCGGCGGACGGGUGAGUAAUGUAUGGGGAUCUGCCCGAUAGAGGGGGAUAACUACUGGAAACGGUGGCUAAUACCGCAUAAUGUCUACGGACCAAAGCAGGGGCUCUUCGGACCUUGCACUAUCGGAUGAACCCAUAUGGGAUUAGCUAGUAGGUGGGGUAAAGGCUCACCUAGGCGACGAUCUCUAGCUGGUCUGAGAGGAUGAUCAGCCACACUGGGACUGAGACACGGCCCAGACUCCUACGGGAGGC
This 320-nucleotide ribosomal RNA is filed under the name Proteus mirabilis. RNAcentral describes it as "bacterial SSU rRNA". It matches the Rfam family "Bacterial small subunit ribosomal RNA", at positions 36 to 349 of the family's 1533-position model. The record is from RNAcentral. Lineage: Bacteria; Pseudomonadati; Pseudomonadota; Gammaproteobacteria; Enterobacterales; Morganellaceae.